AGAAUCAACGCUGGCGGCGUGCCUAACACAUGCAAGUCGAACGAGAAAGUGGAGCAAUCCAUGAGUAAAGUGGCGACCGGGUGAGUAACACGUGACUAACCUACCUUUUAGUGGGGGAUAACCUCGGGAAACCGAGGCUAAUACCGCAUAACAUCGCAAGAUCAAAGCAGCAAUGCGCUGGAAGAGGGGGUCGCGGCUGAUUAGCUAGUUGGCGGGGUAACGGCCCACCAAGGCGAAGAUCGGUA
Molecule: ribosomal RNA, 245 nt
Filed under: uncultured bacterium
Lineage: Bacteria
Description: partial small subunit ribosomal RNA
Rfam family: Bacterial small subunit ribosomal RNA
Source: RNAcentral